RNAcentral lists this ribosomal RNA (705 nucleotides) under uncultured bacterium. Its description in RNAcentral is "bacterial SSU rRNA". It matches the Rfam family "Bacterial small subunit ribosomal RNA", at positions 73 to 802 of the family's 1533-position model. The record is from RNAcentral.
UGCUAGCUUGCUAAUAAUUCUCUAGUGGCGCACGGGUGAGUAACACGUGAGUAACCUGCCCCCAAGAGUGGGAUAGCCCCGGGAAACUGGGAUUAAUACCGCAUAAAAUCGCAAGAUUAAAGCAGCAAUGCGCUUGGGGAUGGGCUCGCGUCCUAUUAGUUAGUUGGUGAGGUAACGGCUCACCAAGGCGAUGACGGGUAGCCGGUCUGAGAGGAUGUCCGGCCACACUGGAACUGAGACACGGUCCAGACACCUACGGGUGGCAGCAGUCGAGAAUCAUUCACAAUGGGGGAAACCCUGAUGGUGCGACGCCGCGUGGGGGAAUGAAGGUCUUCGGAUUGUAAACCCCUGUCAUGUGGGAGCAAAUUAAAAAGAUAGUACCACAAGAGGAAGAGACGGCUAACUCUGUGCCAGCAGCCGCGGUAAUACAGAGGUCUCAAGCGUUGUUCGGAAUCACUGGGCGUAAAGCGUGCGUAGGCGGUUUCGUAAGUCGUGUGUGAAAGGCGGGGGCUCAACCCCCGGACUGCACAUGAUACUGCGAGACUAGAGUAAUGGAGGGGGAACCGGAAUUCUCGGUGUAGCAGUGAAAUGCGUAGAUAUCGAGAGGAACACUCGUGGCGAAGGCGGGUUCCUGGACAUUAACUGACGCUGAGGCACGAAGGCCAGGGGAGCGAAAGGGAUUAGAUACCCCUGUAGUCCUGGCAG